AGAGUACCAUGGCAAGAUUUCAACUCAAAGGAAGGGACGGGGCACCACCCAAGCGGCAGAUGAUGUAGUUUAAUUCGAUGCGACGAGCAAAACCUGACCUAGCCAUGCCAUGGACGGAAUAGAGAAGAGAUUUGGGAGUGCUGGAAUGAGACACAUCACACACAUGGUGCAUGUCAGUUGUCAUCUUGAGUCGUGAGAUGAAGUGUUAAGUCGAGCACAGACCGCAUCCUUAGUCAUCAGCACGUUAAAAAGGGCACUCUAAUGAGACUGCCGGUGACAAACCGGAGGAAGGUGGGGAUGACGUCAAGUCAUCAUGGCCCUUACGGCUAGGGCUUCACACGUCAUACAAUGGUACAUACAGAGGGUCGCCAAGCCGCGAGGGGGAGCUAAUCCCAGAAAACGUAUCGUAGUCCGGAUUGCAGUCUGCAACUCGACUGCAUGAAGUCGGAAUCGCUAGUAAUCGCGGAUCAGCAUGUCGCGGUGAAUACGUUCCCGGGUCUUGUACACACCGCCCGUCACACCAUGGGAGCGGGUUGUUCCAGAAGUAGGUAGCUUUAAACCCGUACAGGAGGACGGUCACCCAACGG
Molecule: ribosomal RNA, 587 nt
Filed under: Herbaspirillum frisingense
Lineage: Bacteria; Pseudomonadati; Pseudomonadota; Betaproteobacteria; Burkholderiales; Oxalobacteraceae
Description: bacterial SSU rRNA
Rfam family: Bacterial small subunit ribosomal RNA
Source: RNAcentral